RNAcentral lists this ribosomal RNA (253 nucleotides) under uncultured bacterium. RNAcentral's name for it is "partial 16S ribosomal RNA". It matches the Rfam family "Bacterial small subunit ribosomal RNA", at positions 524 to 776 of the family's 1533-position model. The record is from RNAcentral.
UACGGAGGGGGCUAGCGUUGUUCGGAAUUACUGGGCGUAAAGCGCGCGUAGGCGGACCUGCAAGUCGGGGGUGAAAGCCCGAGGCUCAACCUCGGAACUGCCUUCGAUACUGCGGGUCUCGAGUCCGGGAGAGGUGAGUGGAAUUCCUAGUGUAGAGGUGAAAUUCGUAGAUAUUAGGAAGAACACCGAUGGCGAAGGCAGCCUCCUGGGCCAAUACUGACGCUCAUGCACGAAAGCGUGGGGAGCAAACAGG